This 727-nucleotide ribosomal RNA is filed under the name Lasallia pustulata. RNAcentral's name for it is "partial large subunit ribosomal RNA". It matches the Rfam family "Bacterial large subunit ribosomal RNA", at positions 918 to 1598 of the family's 2925-position model. The record is from RNAcentral. Lineage: Eukaryota; Fungi; Ascomycota; Lecanoromycetes; Umbilicariales; Umbilicariaceae.
GUGGGGGGGUCGGAAGAUUCUACUCGCUAGUAGUUGACCUCGGAAGGGUUAUGAUGACUAUAUAAUAAUCAGACAUAGUUCGCUAAGGUUGUAUGUCUAAAGGGAAACAGCCAGAACAAGAGUUAAUAAGGUUCCAAAAUUAUUGUUAAGUGAAAAUAAGGAAGUUUGCAUCCAAUUCAGCCAGGAGAUAGGCUUAGAUGCGGCCAUUUUUUAAAGACCUCGUAACAGAGCACUGGUUCAGUAAAUUAUUUUUAUAAUUUCUAGUGAUAAUAGCACCAAAAAUUUAACGGAUCUAAACAAUAUACCGAGACCUUGUCCAUAUUUAUCUAUAUAUCUAAGUUGUAUAUUGUAUUUAUGGGGUAGCGGAACAUUGGGCAAAUCUAAGAUUUUUUCUUUAAAAGACUUAAGAUAAGAUAACCCAAGUGAUAAUGCUGACAUGAGUAACGAUAAAGGGAAUGAACUAUUCCCUCGCCUAAAACUUAUGGUAUUUACUUAAAGUAACGGCCUCUAAGUUUAUGAACCUAAAGGACUAAACGAUGAGAAAAUCUACCACCCGCUCAUUUAAUUCAUUCCUUCUGGGAAAUUAAGUUAAAACAAAUAACCUUUGUGCAUAGACUAUAUCUAGGUAUUUACUUUGGGGACGGUACCUAGAUAUUUUUUUGUGUUAAAGUGACAAGGGUUCUGGAUAAGUUAGGAGUAAAGUGGUGCAUCAUGCAUAAUAUAGGGA